Molecule: ribosomal RNA, 440 nt
Filed under: uncultured bacterium
Lineage: Bacteria
Description: bacterial SSU rRNA
Rfam family: Bacterial small subunit ribosomal RNA
Source: RNAcentral
CCUACGGGGCGCAGCAGUGGGGAAUUUUGGACAAUGGGCGCAAGCCUGAUCCAGCCAUUCCGCGUGAGUGAAGAAGGCCUUCGGGUUGUAAAGCUCUUUCGCAAGGGAAGAAAACUUACCUUUUAAUAGAGGGUGAGGUUGACGGUACCUUGAUAAGAAGCACCGGCUAACUACGUGCCAGCAGCCGCGGUAAUACGUAGGGUGCGAGCGUUAAUCGGAAUUACUGGGCGUAAAGCGUGCGCAGGCGGUUUUGUAAGUCAGAUGUGAAAGCCCCGGGCUCAACCUGGGAACUGCGUUUGAAACUACAAGGCUAGAGUAUGGGAGAGGGGGGUAGAAUUCCACGUGUAGCAUUGAAAUGCGUAGAGAUGUGGAGGAAUACCAAUGGCGAAGGCAGCCCCCUGGCCUAAUACUGACGCUCAUGCACGAAAGCGUGGGGAGCA